Molecule: microRNA, 21 nt
Filed under: Mesocestoides corti
Lineage: Eukaryota; Metazoa; Platyhelminthes; Cestoda; Cyclophyllidea; Mesocestoididae
Description: mco-miR-12065-3p
Source: miRBase by way of RNAcentral
UGGUCGUUGCUCUACGCAGAC